Molecule: ribosomal RNA, 270 nt
Filed under: Escherichia coli
Lineage: Bacteria; Pseudomonadati; Pseudomonadota; Gammaproteobacteria; Enterobacterales; Enterobacteriaceae
Description: partial 16S ribosomal RNA
Rfam family: Bacterial small subunit ribosomal RNA
Source: RNAcentral
AAAUUGAAGAGUUUGAUCAUGGCUCAGAUUGAACGCUGGCGGCAGGCCUAACACAUGCAAGUCGAACGGUAACAGGAAACAGCUUGCUGUUUCGCUGACGAGUGGCGGACGGGUGAGUAAUGUCUGGGAAACUGCCUGAUGGAGGGGGAUAACUACUGGAAACGGUAGCUAAUACCGCAUAACGUCGCAAGACCAAAGAGGGGGACCCUCGGGCCUCUUGCCAUCGGAUGUGCCCAGAUGGGAUUAGCUUGUUGGUGGGGUAACGGCUCA